This 303-nucleotide ribosomal RNA is filed under the name uncultured bacterium. RNAcentral's name for it is "partial 16S ribosomal RNA". It matches the Rfam family "Bacterial small subunit ribosomal RNA", at positions 507 to 807 of the family's 1533-position model. The record is from RNAcentral.
AGCAGUCGCCGCGGUAAAACAGAGGCCUCAAGCGUUGUUCGGAUUCAUUGGGCGUAAAGGGUGCGUAGGUGGCUUGGUAAGUUGAAGGUGAAAUCUCGGGGCUUAACCCCGGAACUGCCUUCAAUACUGCUAGGCUCGAGGACUGUAGAGGAGAAUGGAAUUCACGGUGUAGCAGUGAAAUGCGUAGAUAUCGUGAGGAAGACCAGUGGCGAAGGCGAUUCUCUGGGCAGUUCCUGACACUGAGGCACGAAGGCCAGGGGAGCAAACGGGAUUAGAUACCCGGGUAGUCCCUGUCUCUUAUAC